CCUACGGGUGGCAGCAGUGGGGAAUAUUGCACAAUGGGGGAAACCCUGAUGCAGCGACGCCGCGUGAGUGAAGAAGUACUUCGUUACGUAAAACUCUAUUAGUAGGGAAGAAAAUGCCGGUACCUGACUAUGAAGGCCUGGCUAACUCCGGGCCAGCAGCCGAGGGAAUACGAAGGGGGGACGCGUUAUCCGGAUGUAAUGGGUGUAAAGGGAGCGUAGAUGGCUGUGCAAGUCUGGCGGGAAAGGCGGGGGCUCAACCGCCGGUGGGCACUGGAAACUGUACGGCUGGAGUGCAGGAGAGGUAAGUGGAAUUCCAGGUGUAGCGGUGAAAUGCGUAGAGAUUAGGAGGAACACCAGUGGCGAAGGCGGCUUACUGGACUGUAACUGACGUUGAGGCGCGAAAGCGUGGGGAGCAAACAGGAUUAGAUACCCUUGUAGUC
This 440-nucleotide ribosomal RNA is filed under the name uncultured bacterium. RNAcentral describes it as "partial 16S ribosomal RNA". It matches the Rfam family "Bacterial small subunit ribosomal RNA", at positions 338 to 795 of the family's 1533-position model. The record is from RNAcentral.